CAUGGAGUUUGAUCCUGGCUCAGGAUGAACGCUAGCGGCAGGCUUAACACAUGCAAGUCGAGGGGUAUAGUUCUUCGGAGCUAGAGACCGGCGCACGGGUGCGUAACGCGUAUGCAAUCUACCUUUUACAGAGGGAUAGCCCAGAGAAAUUUGGAUUAAUACCUCAUAGUAUGUGAGAAUCGCAUGGUUUUUCACAUUAAAGUUCCAACGGUAAAAGAUGAGCAUGCGUCCCAUUAGCUAGAUGGUAAGGUAACGGCUUACCAUGGCUACGAUGGGUAGGGGUCCUGAGAGGGA
This 294-nucleotide ribosomal RNA is filed under the name uncultured Flavobacterium sp. RNAcentral describes it as "partial 16S ribosomal RNA". It matches the Rfam family "Bacterial small subunit ribosomal RNA", at positions 1 to 301 of the family's 1533-position model. Lineage: Bacteria; Pseudomonadati; Bacteroidota; Flavobacteriia; Flavobacteriales; Flavobacteriaceae. The record is from RNAcentral.